This 253-nucleotide ribosomal RNA is filed under the name uncultured bacterium. RNAcentral's name for it is "partial 16S ribosomal RNA". It matches the Rfam family "Bacterial small subunit ribosomal RNA", at positions 524 to 776 of the family's 1533-position model. The record is from RNAcentral.
UACGAAGGGGGCUAGCGUUGCUCGGAAUGACUGGGCGUAAAGGGCGCGUAGGCGGAUGGCACAGUCAGAUGUGAAAUUCCCGGGCUUAACCUGGGGGCUGCAUUUGAUACGUGUGAUCUAGAGUGAGGAAGAGGGUCGUGGAAUUCCCAGUGUAGAGGUGAAAUUCGUAGAUAUUGGGAAGAACACCGGUGGCGAAGGCGGCGACCUGGUCCUUGACUGACGCUGAGGCGCGAAAGCGUGGGGAGCAAACGGG